GUGGGAUAUUGCUGGGAGCUUCUGGGGUUUUCCUGGGAGGGGUGGGGGGUGUUUUUUUUUUCUUUGUGACAGCCACUGAGAGGAUGGUGUGAUGUUCCUGGAUUGCUUUAUUAGGUGCAGAUUUGUGUGGGCUUCUGUGCCAUUUUGGAGGGUGAAGCCUGCAGUGAGGUGUUCUGCCGCAGGAAUUAGCCCAGUCCUGUGAGAAUCUUCUUCUGAGAGUGGAAGAAGGUGUCUGAGUGCUGGGGACCCUUCUCGUACACGGGAGCUGUAGCUGGGGUGUGCCCUGCACUGUGGCUAGGUUCCCACUUUGCUCCUUCCAGGCCCAUGUGGGGCUGCUUCUUGGCUUCCUUGCUUAUUAGUGCUGCCAUGCUCAAUGCAGUGAGCAGCUCUGGCAGCUGUGACCCUGUGGAGUUAGGUGAAGUCUGCAGCAACAAUUAG
This 438-nucleotide long non-coding RNA is filed under the name Numida meleagris (helmeted guineafowl). Its description in RNAcentral is "lncRNA (ENSNMEG00000000527.1)". The record is from RNAcentral. Lineage: Eukaryota; Metazoa; Chordata; Aves; Galliformes; Numididae.